GCCAUGCUAGUUGCACGAGUUUAGACUCGUAGCAGAUAGCUCAGUAACACGUGGCCAAACUACCCUACAGAGCGCGAUAACCUCGGGAAACUGAGGCUAAUAGCGCAUACGGCUCUCACGCUGGAACUGCGGAGAGCUCGAAACGCUCCGGCGCUGUAGGAUGUGGCUGCGGCCGAUUAGGUAGACGGUGGGGUAACGGCCCACCGUGCCAGUAAUCGGUACGGGUUGUGAGAGCAAGAGCCCGGAGACGGUAUCUGAGACAAGAUACCGGGCCCUACGGGGCGCAGCAGGCGCGAAACCUUUACACUGCACGUCAGUGCGAUAAGGGGACUCCAGGUGCGAGGGCAUAUAGUCCUCGCUUUUGUACACCGUAAGGUGGUGUACGAAUAAGUGCUGGGCAAGACCGGUGCCAGCCGCCGCGGUAAUACCGGCAGCACAAGUGAUGACCGCUAUUAUUGGGCCUAAAGCGUCCGUAGCUGGCCAGGCAAGUCCGUCGGGAAAUCUCCCCGCCCAACGGGGAGGCGUCCGGUGGAAACUGUCUGGCUUGGGACCGGAAGAUCCAGAGGGUACGUCCGGGGUAGGAGUGAAAUCCCGUAAUCCUGGACGGACCACCGGUGGCGAAGGCGCUCUGGAAAGACGGAUCCGACGGUGAGGGACGAAAGCUCGGGUCACGAACCGGAUUAGAUACCCGGGUAGUCCGAGCUGUAAACGAUGUCUGCUAGGUGUGCCACAGGCUACGAGCCUGUGGUGUGCCGUAGGGAAGCCGUGAAGCAGACCGCCUGGGAAGUACGUCCGCAAGGAUGAAACUUAA
This 811-nucleotide ribosomal RNA is filed under the name uncultured euryarchaeote. RNAcentral's name for it is "bacterial SSU rRNA". It matches the Rfam family "Archaeal small subunit ribosomal RNA", at positions 48 to 859 of the family's 1478-position model. The record is from RNAcentral. Lineage: Archaea; Methanobacteriati; Methanobacteriota.